AGUUGGUUUCCGUCACGAUUAAAUUGUUCGUUGCAUAAACUCGCAAAGCCGAGAUUAAUAACCCGGUUUUCCCAGAACACACUUAUGCCUGAAAAUGGAAGAACUUAUUGCAGAAGUUAGAGGGACGAAUGGUGCCUUUUACAAGUGUGUAAUAAAGAACAUACAUGAAGACGAGGUGACAGUUUCAUUUGAAAAUGACUGGCAACCACCAAAGCGUGCCAAUUUUACAGAGGUGCGUCCCACGCCUCCUAAGCUCACAGACAAGCCUGAGUAUCGGGAAAAUGAACAAGUGGAGGUAAG
Molecule: long non-coding RNA, 300 nt
Organism: Dreissena polymorpha
Lineage: Eukaryota; Metazoa; Mollusca; Bivalvia; Myida; Dreissenidae
Exons: 3
Source: RefSeq, a predicted model, not a curated record